RNAcentral lists this long non-coding RNA (395 nucleotides) under Elaeis guineensis (African oil palm). RNAcentral's name for it is "long non-coding RNA (EGUI_LNC034519)". The record is from RNAcentral. Lineage: Eukaryota; Viridiplantae; Streptophyta; Magnoliopsida; Arecales; Arecaceae.
GCCAAGUGCCACCAUCUUCUUCAUCUCCGAUGAGUCCCCAUCCCUUCCUUUGCUUCUUUCUUAGCUGAGGUAGCUGCCAUGAGGGCAGCUAGAGGGCGAUGCCCCUUUCUCUCUACUCUUCCCCCUUUCUGGCCAACUACCACUACUGUCGUCAGCAUCUGACCGCUACUAGCACUAUCCGAUUGACUUCGCUGUCGGCCACCGCCAAUCCCAACCCUCCUUCUUUCCUUUGCUUUCCCUUAAGAAAGUCUUGGUUCAAUUUGAGAAGGAGAGCGAGAGAGAGAGGGGGCAGGAGAGAGAGAGAGAAUGAAGGAGAAGGAAAAAAAGAAAGGAACAAAAAAGAAAGAAAGAAAAAAAGGGGGGCACAUAGAAAGCUUUUUGUAAAAUCAUCCCAU